ACUCCGGUUGAUCCUGCCGGACCUGACUGCUAUCAGAACGGGACUAAGCCAUGCGAGUUUGCCAUUCAGAGCAUGUUGUUUGGCGGCGAACGGCUCAGUAACACGUAGUCAACCUGCCCUCGAGUCGAGAAUAAUCUCGGGAAACUGAGGCUAAUGCUCGAUAG
RNAcentral lists this ribosomal RNA (164 nucleotides) under Nitrososphaerota archaeon. Its description in RNAcentral is "partial 16S ribosomal RNA". It matches the Rfam family "Archaeal small subunit ribosomal RNA", at positions 1 to 159 of the family's 1478-position model. Lineage: Archaea; Thermoproteati; Nitrososphaerota. The record is from RNAcentral.